UACGUAGGGUGCGAGCGUUGUCCGGAAUUAUUGGGCGUAAAGAGCUCGUAGGCGGCUUGUCGCGUCGGAUGUGAAAGCCCGGGGCUUAACUCCGGGUCUGCAUUCGAUACGGGCAGGCUAGAGUUCGGUAGGGGAGAUCGGAAUUCCUGGUGUAGCGGUGAAAUGCGCAGAUAUCAGGAGGAACACCGGUGGCGAAGGCGGGUCUCUGGGCCGAAACUGACGCUGAGGAGCGAAAGCGUGGGGAGCAAACAGG
This 253-nucleotide ribosomal RNA is filed under the name uncultured bacterium. Its description in RNAcentral is "partial 16S ribosomal RNA". It matches the Rfam family "Bacterial small subunit ribosomal RNA", at positions 524 to 776 of the family's 1533-position model. The record is from RNAcentral.